Molecule: ribosomal RNA, 369 nt
Filed under: uncultured phototrophic eukaryote
Lineage: Eukaryota
Description: SSU rRNA
Rfam family: Bacterial small subunit ribosomal RNA
Source: RNAcentral
UACGGGGGAUGCAAGCGUUAUCCGGAUUUAUUGGGCGUAAAGCGCCUGUAGGUUGUUUAAUAAGUCUGUUGUUAAAGACUAGGGCUUAACCCUAGGAAAGCAAUGGAAACUACUAGACUUGAGUAUGAUAGGGGUAGAGGGAAUUUCUAGUGUAGCGGUGAAAUGCGUAGAUAUUAGAAAGAACACCGGUGGCGAAAGCGCUUUACUGGACCAUUACUGACACUCAGAGGCGAAAGCUAGGGUAGCCAAAGGGAUUAGAUACCCCUGUAGUCCUAGCCGUAAACGAUGGAUACUAGAUGUUGCGCUUAUUGUGCAGUGUCGUAGCUAACGCGUUAAGUAUCCCGCCUGGGGAGUACGAUCGCAAGUGUG